CAUAAUAUUAAAAAGAUGAUGUGUCUAUUUUUGAAUAUUCAAUUUGUGUCAAAAAAAGUUUUAUCUUGAAAUUAAUGUGAGUUGCACAUGAGUGAACAGCCUAUUAUGAAAAUUAAAGAACACAACUUUACCAAAAAAAUGACAUAUUUAUUUAGUUAAAAAUUAAUUUAUAGAAAAGUUAUGACUUAAUUGUAUAAAAACAAUUUUUGAUUAUGAAUAUUUAUUGUUUCAUUCAAGUACAUUGAAAAUUAAUAUAUUUCAUCAAGGGCUGUUAACCACACUACAGAGGUAGACCAUAUACUUAAUGAUAUUGAGUGAGUUUCUGUAUAGGUACUAGAAAAUGUAUUUACUGAAUUAGUUUGUAAAUAUAAGAAAAAAAAUUGCUAG
Non-coding RNA from Cinara cedri, 387 nucleotides. The record is from the annotation of a GenBank genome assembly. Lineage: Eukaryota; Metazoa; Arthropoda; Insecta; Hemiptera; Aphididae.